CUCCCGCCUUCCGAAGUUAGCAAACUUCCUUCCCCGCAUUUCUUAAAGAGAGUGCUCCUCUGCCUUGCCGGUUCCUGCAGUGCUUUACCGAGUUCCUAAUCUUCCCUUUUGGAAGUGAAAAUGUCUGCAAAGAUUGGAGGAGGUUUCGGGAGGGAAGCUUCUCAGCAGAUCCUGGCUGGAGGUUCAGCGGGGCAAGAGAAUACAAAAAAGGAGCACUGACUUAACCUGAAUAGUGCCAAAAGAGCACACAGGUCAAAAAAAAAAAGAAGAAGAAGAAACCAAUCCAGGAAGGAUUGAUGGACUACUAAGCCAAUACAAAGAACUUGAAUCUAGUGUGAGACUUAAGGUUGUGAUGCUUGACAUACGUUAAGAUGUAGGCCUUCCUUGUAGCCACACUCUUUGUGAAAGUCUUUACAGACAAGUACCAAAAUUUGGCUCCUACCUGGCUUCUAUAAUCUAGUCCCUUUUCUGUCUUUCAUAAUGUGGCAACUUUCUGUAGUCUUGGCUACUGACUGGGAAAAUGCUUAAUUGCUUAUAUCAUUUUAAUUGGGCAAUUCAAGGACCUGUUUAGAUUUAUUUUUCCUUUACUUGGAAUUUUUACACAUAAGACUUUGAUAGUCUAUAUUUCAUCCAGAAAUUAUCUUUUUUUAUUUUGGAUUUUUUAAAUUUCUUUUGCCAAUUGAUUCAUAUACCUCAUAACUUAGCCAUGCAUCCCUAAAUGAUCCCUGUGUUUUUCAACCACCCUCUUUAGUGGGGGUAAUGUAUAAUUAUUGUUAUUUUAAAUUACAAAGCUUAAUUCCUUUUGAGAGUAAUUUUAGGUUAAGAAACAUGCUACCUUUCUGAAUCCAGAAAGUGAACUGUUUGGAGAAGACACCAUUAAGAUGCCUCCACAGACAACACGCU
This 903-nucleotide long non-coding RNA is filed under the name Monodelphis domestica (gray short-tailed opossum). RNAcentral's name for it is "lncRNA (ENSMODG00000035230.2)". Lineage: Eukaryota; Metazoa; Chordata; Mammalia; Didelphimorphia; Didelphidae. The record is from RNAcentral.